UUCCACUCAUGAGGCAGUAUUUACUGGCUGCAGAGAUGACAUCCGGGUACCUCAGACAUCAAGGACUCUUUACUUCCUCUUAUACUAUGUGAAGUUCCUCUCGGUCCCUUACAAUUUCCUUUUCUUGGGACUGCUUAUCAAUUCAGAUCAACUUUGACAUCAACAAUAGCUCAUUUAAUAAGAUUACAGGGUGUAUAAAAAUAGAACAAAGGCAAACAGAAGUAAAAUAGUAAGAACUAGGCCUAACAAGGGCUAAAUCCACUAUUGGGGUUUUCAAUUGUGUUCAGCCCACUCAAGAAAGCCAUGUUGGGGAGGUCAUGGAUGUUUCUGAUUGGGAUCCAUUCGUCUACUGAUGAGUCUGCAUCUGGAACAACAAGAUUGGAGUGAAGCCAUGCAGAAUUGAGGAUAUGCAUCCAUAGUUAUAUAGAUGCUCUGCUUCUUAACAUGGGUGAUGUCCAUUUGCCAAAUUUCAUUGGCAAUAAAGGAUUAGAAGACCUGGAAUACCAUAUUCUGGAAGGUGAAUGACCUGGAGUUACAACCAAAAAUUAACUACCCAGCAAGACUGAGAAUCAUCUUUCAAAGGAGAAGGAUUUUCAAUGAAGUAAGAGACUUUCAAUCAUUUCUAUUGAGAAAACCAGAACUAAACAGAAAGUUUGAUCUUCGAACACAGGACUCAAAAGAUAUUGGAUCUCAAACCAUGAGAAUUCUUUCCUGGAGGGAGCAUAGGAGUGUGGAAAGGAAGGCAAGCUGUAUAGCCUUUUACUAUGCUCCUAGCUUUCUCUUUUGUUAUCCCAAAUUGCAAAUGUAUAGCUCAAGCUGUCUGAUGAUUAAAAAAAAAUAGGACCUGAAAGUCUAUUAUGAAAGUGGUUAUGCAAAAUAUAAUACUUA
This is a long non-coding RNA of Sarcophilus harrisii (Tasmanian devil), 888 nucleotides long. RefSeq lists it as uncharacterized. NCBI's taxonomy places the organism in Eukaryota, Metazoa, Chordata, Mammalia, Dasyuromorphia, Dasyuridae. The record is from RefSeq and is a predicted model, not a curated record. The transcript has 3 exons.